RNAcentral lists this small nuclear RNA (102 nucleotides) under Physcomitrium patens. Lineage: Eukaryota; Viridiplantae; Streptophyta; Bryopsida; Funariales; Funariaceae. The record is from RNAcentral.
GUCUCUUUGGAGACAUCUGAUAAAAUUGGAAUAAUAUAGAGAAGAUUAGCAUGGCCCUACGCAAGGAUGACAUGCACAAAUCAAGAAAUGAAUCAAAUUUUU